AAGACCUUGCGCUUUUGGAGCGGCCGAUGUCUGAUUAGCUUGUUGGUAAGGUAAAAGCUUACCAAGGCUUCGAUCAGUAGCUGGUCUGAGAGGACGGCCAGCCACACUGGGACUGAGACACGGCCCAGACUCCUACGGGAGGCAGCAGUGGGGAAUUUUGGACAAUGGGGGCAACCCUGAUCCAGCCAUGCCGCGUGAGUGAAGAAGGCCUUCGGGUUGUAAAGCUCUUUCAGCCGGAACGAAACGGUUACGGUUAAUACCCGUGACUACUGACGGUACCGGAAGAAGAAGCACCGGCUAACUACGUGCCAGCAGCCGCGGUAAUACGUAGGGUGCGAGCGUUAAUCGGAAUUACUGGGCGUAAAGCGUGCGCAGGCGGUUUUGUAAGUCAGAUGUGAAAUCCCCGGGCUUAACCUGGGAACU
Molecule: ribosomal RNA, 423 nt
Filed under: uncultured bacterium
Lineage: Bacteria
Description: bacterial SSU rRNA
Rfam family: Bacterial small subunit ribosomal RNA
Source: RNAcentral